RNAcentral lists this ribosomal RNA (490 nucleotides) under uncultured bacterium. RNAcentral describes it as "partial 16S ribosomal RNA". It matches the Rfam family "Bacterial small subunit ribosomal RNA", at positions 29 to 507 of the family's 1533-position model. The record is from RNAcentral.
AGUGAACGCUGGCGGUAGGCCUAACACAUGCAAGUCGAACGGCAGCACAGGAGAGCUUGCUCUCUAGGUGGCGAGUGGCGGACGGGUGAGGAAUACAUCGGAAUCUGCCCAGUCGUGGGGGAUAACGUAGGGAAACUUACGCUAAUACCGCAUACGACCUUCGGGUGAAAGAGGGGGAUCGCAAGACCUCUCGCGAUUGGAUGAGCCGAUGUCGGAUUAGCUAGUUAGCGGGGUAAUGGCCCACCAAGGCGACGAUCCGUAGCUGGUCUGAGAGGAUGAUCCGCCACACUGGAACUGAGACACGGUCCAGACUUCUACGGGAGGCAGCAGUGGGGAAUAUUGGACAAUGGGCGCAAGCCUGAUCCAGCCAUACCGCGUGGGUGAAGAAGGCCUUCGGGUUGUAAAGCCCUUUUGUUGGGAAAGAAAUCUUUCAGGCUAAUACCCUGGGAGGAUGACGGUACCCAAAGAAUAAGCACCGGCUAACUUCGUG